This 1415-nucleotide ribosomal RNA is filed under the name metagenome. Its description in RNAcentral is "bacterial SSU rRNA". It matches the Rfam family "Archaeal small subunit ribosomal RNA". The record is from RNAcentral.
UCUAGUUUAUCCUGCUAGAGGCUGCGGCUAUUUGGAUUCCAUUAAGCCAUGCAAGUCAUCUCCCGCAAGGGGGAGGCGAACUGCUCAGUAACACGUAGUCAAUCUACCCUAAGAUCGAGGAUACCCUCGGGAAACUGAGAUCAAAACUCGAUAGACAAAGGAGGCUGGAAUGCGCCUUUGUUGAAACGUAAGGUCCUAGGAUGAGACUGCGGCUGAUUAGGUAGUUGUUGAGGUAACUACUCAACAAGCCAAUUAUCAGUAGGAGCUCUUAACGGAGGGGCUCCGAGAGGAAAUCUGAGACACUAUUUCCAGCUCUAUGGAGUGCAGCAGGGAGGAAAAUUCUCCAAUGUUCGAAAGAAUGAGAGAGGAAUCCAAAGUGCUUCUCAUUUCGAGAGGCUUUUGUCUACUUUAAAAAGGCAGGCGAAUAAGGACUGGGCAAGACUGGUGCCAGCCGCCGCGGUAAUCCCAGCAGUCCGAGUCGUGGCCACAUUUAUUAGGUCUAAAACAUUCGUAGCUGGUUUUUCAAGUUCUUUGUGAAAUUGUUGCACUCAAUGCAACAGCGUGCAAGGGAGACUGAAAGACUAGAGACUGGGAGACGUAACGAGUACAUUCAAGGUAGCGGUAAAAUGUUUUAAUCUUGGAUGGACUGACUAUGGCGAAGGCACGUUACGAGAACAGAUCUGACAGUGAGGAAUGAAGGCCCGGGGCGCAAAAUGGAUUAGAUACCCAUGUAGUCCGGGCAGUAAACACUGAUUACUAAACAUUGUGCCGUCCUCGAGAUGGUGCAGUGCUGAAGGGAAGCUGAAGAGUAAUCUACCUGGGGAGUAUAGCCGCAAGGCCGAAACUUAAAGGAAUUGGCGGGGGGACACACAAGGGGUGACGCGUGCGGUUCAAUUAGAUUCUACACCGUGAACCUUACCAGGAGCGACAGCAGGAUGAAGGUCAGUCUAAAGGGCUUACCUAACACGCUGAGCGGAAUUGCAUGGCCGUCGUAAGCUUGUGCCGUGAGGUGCCCUGUUAAAUCAGGUAACAAGCGAGACCUGCAUGCAUAAUUGCUACCCGGAGAGGGAGCACAUUAUGCGGACCGCUCCCGCAAGGGAGAGGAAGGCGCAGUCAACGACAGGUGAGUACGGUCCUAAUCCCCUGGGCUACACGCGCGCGGCAAUGCUAUGCUCAAUGAGAUGCAACACCGAAAGGUGAAGCAAAUCCCACAAAACAUAGCCUAGUUCAGAUUGAAGUUUGCAACCUAACUUCAUGACGCUGGAAUCCCUAGUAAUCGGAUGUUAGCAGCGUCCGGUGAAUAAGUCACAGUUCCUUGCACACACUGCCCAUCAAACCAUCUGAGUCAGAUUUGGGCGAGGCUCGUUAAGGGACGAGCCCAAGUUCGACAAAGAAGGUUAAGUUGUCACAAGGUA